UACGUAGGGUGCAAGCGUUGCCCGGAUUUAUUGGGCGUAAAGGGCGCGUAGGCGGCUCGGCACGUCCGUUGUGAAAUCGCCCGGCUCAACUGGGCGGGGUCAGCGGAUACGGUCGAGCUUGAGCAAGCUAGGGGGCAAUGGAAUUCCCGGUGUAGUGGUGGAAUGCGUUGAGAUCGGAAGGAACGCCCGUGGCGAAAGCGAGGUCCUGGACGUCUUCUGACGCUGAGAUGCGAAAGCCAGGGGAGCGAACGGG
This 253-nucleotide ribosomal RNA is filed under the name uncultured bacterium. Its description in RNAcentral is "partial 16S ribosomal RNA". It matches the Rfam family "Bacterial small subunit ribosomal RNA", at positions 524 to 776 of the family's 1533-position model. The record is from RNAcentral.